Molecule: RNA transcript, 4820 nt
Organism: Cercocebus atys (sooty mangabey)
Lineage: Eukaryota; Metazoa; Chordata; Mammalia; Primates; Cercopithecidae
Gene name: voltage-dependent anion-selective channel protein 1-like
Exons: 2
Source: RefSeq, a predicted model, not a curated record
AGCUAAGAUAGCAUCAUUGCACACUAGCCUGGGCAGAGCGAGACUCCACCUAAAAAAAAAAAAAAAGAAGAGCUGAUAAAACUUUGGUUAAGGUAAUAACAAUGAAGAUGGAGAGAAGGAAAAGGGUUCAAGAGAUAUUUAAGCAGAACUAUAGGACUUAGAAAUUAGAUGGAAACUAUGGAAACUAGAAUGGCAGAGUGAUUUGCUCCAGAUGGGGUCUUUUAGAUGUUGACUGAUCUCUGACUUUAUUAAGUGUAGAAGAUACCACCUACCGAGAUUUUGGGUGUAAAACAUCUUUAAAUCAUUGACAUAACAUCAAAGGUUAGAUGUGCAGGUUCACUUCUGUCUCUUCUGAUAAAAAGCCUUUCUCUUAGUUAUAUUAAUAGUAAAUUGAGCUGGGAGGAGAUUCAAAGAUGUUCAACAAAUAUUUGUUGAGCACACAUUAUAUGCCAAGCACUGUGAUAAGGAUACAAUGGUGAGCAAUACAGUCAUGGACUCUGACUUUAUGAGGUAUAUAAUGAAACACCAUUAAAAGCACUACACACCGGCUGCUUGCUUUGCUCCAUGCCUCCCCGAUGAAGCCCCUGUCAUAGCUGCCGCCAAGCCUGCCACCACCACCUCUGAGCAGAAGAUGACUGUGCCACCCAAGUAUGCCAAUCUUGGCAAAUCUGCCAGGAAUGUCUUCACUAAGGGCUAUGGAUAUGGCCUAAUAAAACUUGAUUUGAAAACAAAAUCUGAGAAUGCAUUGGAAUUUGUAAGCUUAGGCUCAACCAACACUGAAAUUCACCAAGGCAGUCUGGAGACCAAGUACAGAUGGACUGAAUAUGGCCUGAUGUUUAUGAAGUGAAACACACAACACUAGGACUGAGAUUACUGUGGAAGAUCAUCUUGCAAGUGGACUGAAGCUGACCCUCGAUUCAUCCUUGUCACCUAACACUGGGGGAAAAUGCUAACAUCAACACCAGGUACAAGCAGGAGCACAUCAACCUGGACUGUAACCUGGAUUUUGACAUCGCUCGGCCUUCAAUCUGGGGCGCUCUGGUGCUGGGUUACAAGGGUGGCUGGCUAGCUACCAGAUAAAUUUUGAGGCUGCAAAAUCCUGAGUGACCCAGAGCAACUUUGCGGUUGGCUACAAGUCUGAUGAACUCCAACUUCACACUAAUGUGAAAAUGGGACAGUUUGGUGGCUCCAUUUACCAGAAGGUAAAUAACAAGUUGGAGAUCACUGUCAAUUUUACCUGGACAGCAGGAAACAGUAACACUCACUUUGGAAUACCCAAGUAUCUGAUCAACUCUGACACCUCCUUCUUGGCUAAGUGAACAACUCUCGCCUAAUAGGUUUAGAAUACACUGAGACCCUAAAGCUAGGUAUCAAAAUGACACUGUCAGCUGUCCUGAAUGGCAAGAAUAACAAUGCCGGUGGUUACACACUAGGUCUGGAACUGAAAUUUCGAGCAUAAAUACUGUACAAUUAUUUAUUUUUACAUUAUUUUGCAGCAGAGCUACCUUUAGAAUUUAGUGUAUCUUUUACUGUAUGCUUGGGAUGCAAGCAUUGCUAAAUGUUAGACUUCCAGGCUAAGUAUGUUAGAUUUCCAGGCUAAAGAUAAUUCAGUUUUAAAAUGUUACCCUUUCAGAGAUAGAGAAGAAACCCAAUUCCAAAAAACGUCCUUUCAGCUAUAGACUUGGAGAGGCAACUUGGUGGCCCCUCCUCAGAAGCCAGUUUUCUUUUUUAUCUAGAAAUGACUGUACGUGGAAGUUGGUAAUAUGUAGGCAUUUUGUAAAUUCAUAUUGAGUAAAUGAAUGAAAUUGUGACUUCCUGAGAAUUGAACCUUGGUUUCCUAACCCUAAUUAAUGAUAGGCUUGUUGCUUGAUGGUGUGUGCAAACUCACUUGAAAGAGACUCUUUUAGACAGAUCUUCGUGAUCUUUCCACCCCAGUUAAUCAUCACCUCUUUUACACCAAAAUGUCUGCAGGGUGUGGUAACUGUUUGUUUUGUGCCAUUCUGGGGUAAAGAGGGUAGAUGUGAUGAAGCCAAUAAUUCAGGACUUAAUUCCUUCUCAUGCCGUGGUUUUGUGCCCUUCCACCAGAAUAUGAAAUAGCUUCCACGAGUUCCAGAUAUAAGCUUGGAAGAAUCACAUGGUGAUAACACUCAGAAUCUAAAUUGGACUUCUGUUGUAUUCUCACCACUCAAUUUAUUUUUUAGCAGUUUAAUGGGUGUAUUUUAGAGUCUUCCAUUUUGUGUGAAUUUAGAUCCUCCCCUUCAAAUGCUGUAAUUAACAUCAUUCAAAGUAAAAUUUGAAAAAUAUAUUGAAAAAAGUGUGAUAUACCAAAAGCAUGAGGAAUUAUGGGAGCUGGAGUCUGGGGAAGAGUUAUCUGAGGAAAUAGUAACUAGGAUCUCAAGAAUGAGUAGAUAAAGGCAGAAGGCAUUGUAAGCCAGGAAACAGCACAUACAAAGGCCUUGAGAUGAAACAGCAUAUGACAAUUUAGAGGAAGCGAAAGAAGGCCAGUGUGGCUACAGCACAGAAGGAAAGAGUGAAGUGUGAUUUAAAUAAAUUCAGCAAAUAGUAUUGACAGUCCAUUGUUACUGAUAAGAUAAAGCUGGAAGUAGACGGAGGCUGGAUCAUGCAGGCCUUUGUAGGUCAUAUUUAGAAUCUCAGUUUUUAUCCUAAGAAUGGGAAGCUAUCACAAAGAUUAAGCAUUAGUUUUUAUUUUAUGGCUUGAGUGAAGAAAAGAUUGAAGGGAUACAAAGUGUGUAUCGGAAGCGCAGCAACUGCAGUAAUCCUGGUGGGAGAUUACGGUGAGGGUGGAGAGAGGUAGUGAGAAUCCAGGGAUAUUUAGAAAUGUAAACUCAUAAGAUUUGGCAAUUGAGUGAUAGGAGAAAAAGGGAAAUGCCUUCUAUCUUCUCCAACUGGAUGAGUACCAGGCAUAGGAUAGUUUAUUAGGAAAUAUGUUGAAUUUGGGAUGUUUUUGAGAUACUUAAGUGGAGAUGUCAAACAGCUUGGAGGAGAUCUGGAAGUUACUAGUAACUGAAGUUCAGAGUGGGGAAGAAACUGUUCUAGGAAAAUUAGACUGAGAAGAACAGGACCUAGAAAAACUUUUAGAUUUAAAGGCUGGCAGGAGGAUGAGCCUGCAAAGAGGCUAGGCAGCUGUGGUCAAAGAGGUAGUAGUAAAACCAUGACAGUACAAUAAGACACCAGUGGAAGAGUAUCAAUGAUAAGAAACUAGAAAAUUAUACCAAAUGCUACUGAAAAGUGAGGUAGUGAGGACUGGGAAAUAACCACUGGAUUCACCGAUAGGAAGGUGAUCACCAAGGUGACCUUGGUAAGAACCAUUUCAAUAGAAUGAGGGUUGUAGAAGUCAAAAUGGACUGGGUUGAGGAAUGCAAAUGGAAAAUGACUCGUAAUAUGGAGAGGCCCAAACUAUCUGUUUUGAGAAGUUUAACUGUAAAGUAGAAAAGAUGGAAGCAUAACUGGAGGGGAAAUGAGAUAUGAAGUGGUUUAUUAACAGGGGAGUCUUUAGCAUGUUUAAACACUGAUGAGAAGAAUUCAGUAAAGUGGAAGUCAAAGAUCCACCAAGAGGGAAGGACUAAGAUUCUGAGAACAGGAGUAAGCACUGGCCUUAGACAGAGGUAUGCUUGCCUUGUUUAGACAAGAGAAACAAUGAUGCAAAUGUGUGGGUAAGUAAGUUGGAGGAUGUUGAGAGAAUUACCGAUACCUUCUACUUUUGUCUAUGAGGUAAGAAACAGUUACUUGCAUAAAGUGAAGAUAAUGGUGCGGCGGAGUGACAAGAGAUUUAAGAAUGUUGGUUUGAGAUAGUUAUUGCAGGGAAAAGUUAAAAUGACUAGAAAAAUCUAGGACUAUGGGGCUGAGACUACAUUUGAAGCUGAUAACCAUGGAUUCAUAGUGAUAUAAAUUUCUCCACAGUUGUUUCCUUGGGUGGCAUUUAGCUGUCCAAAUGCAGGCACAGAUAAGUUUCACUUUAUUUAAGGGUUCAAAAAGAGAUGAAAGGCAAGGAAAUUCAACCUAUUGCACGAAAACCACUAGUUUAAGCUAUACAGCAAUCUAAAGAAGGAAGGUACUAAUGCAAAGUAGAAGCAUUGGUUGCAGUGAAAUCAGAGAAUGAUGGAAUAGUUCAAUAAACCAAGUGGAAGGAAUAUGGUCAAUAAAUAAGGUGCAAGUAUUUUGAAGAUAGAGCAGUUUGUGGUGAUGAUAAUGGCCAAGACAUGACAAACGGAGUGAGUGGCCAAGACAGAGUGGAAAUCAUCAGAGAUUGGGCCAAAUAACUAAGAGACAAAACACCAAAUAAAGUGUCUAUGUAAAUGUUAAAAUAUCAAGGAGUGGAUAGGAAGACCAAGGGCUAGCUAUUUAGAGUAAAGUAGCAGCAGAGUAGUACUAAAUGAGAGUGGCAGACAAGUAAUGAGAGGGUUGUAUGGAUGAACAGCCUCAAAAGAAUGAGGCUUUGCAAAGGAGUGGGCAGUUCUGAAGUCACAAUGGCAAGAACACCAAAGUAUCUCCAAUGUUUAUGUUUAUGAUAAUAUGAUAAAACUUGUCAACAUCUAUUCUUUAGUGCUGUGCUUGCAAUAUCACAUUGCUCCCAUUAUGCCAAUGGCUAUCACUUUAUGGCAAGACCUGAGGACCAGGUUAUGGAAGGCAGAGUGGUAGGAAUAAAGUUUUUCUCCUGAACAUUAAACAUUUUUAGAAACAGGAAAGAACCAGGGCAAGAGAUUGACAUUUUAAGAAAGGGAUUAAGAGAGAGGUCAGACUGAGGGACACUUGUUUUUUCAUGCCUAGAGGCAGGUUAAGUACAGACAGAAGCUCUCAAA